Zea mays is the source of this 778-nucleotide long non-coding RNA. RefSeq lists it as uncharacterized. Lineage: Eukaryota; Viridiplantae; Streptophyta; Magnoliopsida; Poales; Poaceae. The transcript has 2 exons. The record is from RefSeq and is a predicted model, not a curated record.
GAUAAUUAUUAGGGAUAUAUGGAGAUAUUAUGGGAAAAGAAAGAUUUGUUUUUUUUCUUUCUUCUUGGGUGAACGUGCACCUCAUCUGGCAUUCUCCGGAGACUUUUCUUUCCAGGAGAUUUUUUUUUCACGGCUAGCUUAUCCUCUCAUCCGGCAUUCUCACGACACGUAGCUUUCUAGCCGCUCUUCCCAUCCGAAUCACUCCACGCAUGUCUGUAAAAAUCUCACCGCUGUUGAUCCUCUCGCGAGCUCGGCUUCCAGCUGUGUCCGGUGUUGUCUUCAGCCGCCGCACCUGAAGCAACUCGCCUCUCUGUUCUUCCACGCAGCACCAGACGCACGACUCUCCUCUGUCUUCUCUGUGCCGCCUCCUCGCCGAGCUGCGCGCUGCCAACCGCGCCGGUGAACUCGCCCGGUCCGGCGCACUGCUCGUCUCGGCUCCUUUGGAAAUCCUUCGCGAACGUCUCGUCAAGUUGUCAGGCCUGUCUUCGAGUUUGGUGGAGUCCCAAGCUUGCGCGCCGUCGGCCUCUACCUCCUGUGUCCGAUCGUCGUCGCCCCUGCUCACUUCAUCCAACUGCUCCCUUCAUCUCGGCCGAGCUCGACGUCCAGCAAGCCGCCUGCUCGUGUUCCAUCUCUUCAACCAUCAGCUUCCGUGGAACACACUGAUCACGUUGUCUGUUGAUCAAUCACUUGGUGGAGUAAUUUUCUAGAGACUGGUCAUCACCCUGAAGACUCGUGACAUUUUAUUUUCUUAGUCUUCGGCUCUUCUCUGCAACAAAGG